AUUGAACGCUAGCGGGAUGCUUUACACAUGCAAGUCGAACGGCAGCGCGGACUUCGGUCUGGCGGCGAGUGGCGAACGGGUGAGUAAUGUAUCGGAACGUGCCCAGUAGCGGGGGAUAACUACGCGAAAGCGUAGCUAAUACCGCAUAAGCCCUACGGGGGAACGCAGGGGAUCGUAAGACCUUGCACUCUUGGAGCGGCCGAUAUCGGAUUAGCUAGUUGGUGAGGUAACGGCUCACCAAGGCGACGAUCCGUAGCUGGUUUGAGAGGACGACCAGCCACACUGGGACUGAGACACGGCCCAGACUCCUACGGGAGGCAGCAGUGGGGAAUUUUGGACAAUGGGGGCAAGCCUGAUCCAGCCAUCCCGCGUGUGCGAUGAAGGCCUUCGGGUUGUAAAGCACUUUUGUCAGGAAAGAAACGUCGCGGGCUAAUACCCCGUGGAACUGACGGUACCUGAAGAAUAAGCACCGGCUAACUACGUG
RNAcentral lists this ribosomal RNA (484 nucleotides) under uncultured bacterium. Its description in RNAcentral is "partial 16S ribosomal RNA". It matches the Rfam family "Bacterial small subunit ribosomal RNA", at positions 30 to 507 of the family's 1533-position model. The record is from RNAcentral.